RNAcentral lists this ribosomal RNA (401 nucleotides) under uncultured prokaryote. RNAcentral's name for it is "bacterial SSU rRNA". It matches the Rfam family "Bacterial small subunit ribosomal RNA", at positions 355 to 774 of the family's 1533-position model. The record is from RNAcentral.
UGGGGAAUAUUGGACAAUGGGCGAAAGCCUGAUGCAGCAACGCCGCGUGAGCGAUGAAGGCCUUCGGGUCGUAAAGCUCUGUCCUCAAGGAAGAUAAUGACAGUACUUGAGGAGGAAGCCCCGGCUAACUACGUGCCAGCAGCCGCGGUAAUACGUAGGGGGCUAGCGUUAUCCGGAAUUACUGGGCGUAAAGGGUGCGUAGGUGGUUUCUUAAGUCAGAGGUGAAAGGCUACGGCUCAACCGUAGUAAGCCUUUGAAACUGGGAAACUUGAGUGCAGGAGAGGAGAGUGGAAUUCCUAGUGUAGCGGUGAAAUGCGUAGAUAUUAGGAGGAACACCAGUUGCGAAGGCGGCUCACUAGACAGUUUCUGACGCUAAGAUACGAAAGCGUGGGGAGCAAACA